RNAcentral lists this transfer RNA (75 nucleotides) under Priestia megaterium. Its description in RNAcentral is "Bacillus megaterium tRNA-Met". It matches the Rfam family "tRNA". From Rfam's summary of the family: Transfer RNA (tRNA) molecules are approximately 80 nucleotides in length. Their secondary structure includes four short double-helical elements and three loops (D, anti-codon, and T loops). The record is from RNAcentral. Lineage: Bacteria; Bacillati; Bacillota; Bacilli; Caryophanales; Bacillaceae.
CGGGGUGGAGCAGUUCGGUAGCUCGUCGGGCUCAUAACCCGAAGGUCGCAGGUUCAAAUCCUGUCCCCGCAACCA